This 498-nucleotide ribosomal RNA is filed under the name uncultured bacterium. RNAcentral describes it as "partial 16S ribosomal RNA". It matches the Rfam family "Bacterial small subunit ribosomal RNA", at positions 30 to 523 of the family's 1533-position model. The record is from RNAcentral.
AUUGAACGCUGGCGGCAUGCCUUACACAUGCAAGUCGAACGGCAGCACGGGGCAACCUGGUGGCGAGUGGCGAACGGGUGAGCAAUGCAUCGGAACGUACCUUUCAGUGGGGGAUAACGUAGCGAAAGUUACGCUAAUACCGCAUAUUCUGUGAGCAGGAAAGCAGGGGAUCGCAAGACCUUGCGCUGAUUGAGCGGCCGAUGUCAGAUUAGCUAGUUGGUGAGGUAAAGGCUCACCAAGGCGACGAUCUGUAGCGGGUCUGUGAGGAUGAUCCGCCACACUGGAACUGAGACACGGUCCAGACUCCUACGGGAGGCAGCAGUGGGGAAUUUUGGACAAUGGGGGCAACCCUGAUCCAGCCAUGCCGCGUGAGUGAAGAAGGCCUUCGGGUUGUAAAGCUCUUUCGGCCGGGAAGAAAUCGCACGGGCUAAUACCCUGUGUGGAUGACGGUACCGGAAUAAGAAGCACCGGCUAACUACGUGCCAGCAGCCGCAGUAA